AGCGGCGGAUGGGUGAGUAACACGUGGGGAACCUGCCCCUAAGUCUGGGAUACCAUUUGGAAACAGGUGCUAAUACCGGAUAAUAAAGCAGAUCGCAUGAUCAGCUUUUGAAAGGCGGCGUAAGCUGUCGCUAAGGGAUGGCCCCGCGGUGCAUUAGCUAGUUGGUAAGGUAACGGCUUACCAAGGCGACGAUGCAUAGCCGAGUUGAGAGACUGAUCGGCCACAUUGGGACUGAGACACGGCCCAAACUCCUACGGGAGGCAGCAGUAGGGAAUCUUCCACAAUGGACGCAAGUCUGAUGGAGCAACGCCGCGUGAGUGAAGAAGGUUUUCGGAUCGUAAAGCUCUGUUGUUGGUGAAGAAGGAUAGAGGGAGUAACUGGCCUUUAUUUGACGGUAAUCAACCAGAAAGUCACGGCUAACUACGUGCCAGCAGCCGCGGUAAUACGUAGGUGGCAAGCGUUGUCCGGAUUUAUUGGGCGUAAAGCGAGCGCAGGCGGAAAAAUAAGUCUAAUGUGAAAGCCCUCGGGCUUAACCGAGGGAACUGCAUCGGGAAACUGUUUUUCUUUGAGUGCAGAAGAGGAGAGUGGGAACUCCCAUGUGUAGCGGUGGAAAUGCGUAAGAUAUUAUGGGAAGAACACCCAGUGGGCGAAGGCGGGCUCUUCUGGUUCUGCAACUUGACGCUGAGGCUCCAAAAGCCUGGGUAGCGAACAAGGAAUUAAAAUACCCCUGGUAGGUCCUUGCUCGUAAAACGAUUGAGUGCUAAGUGU
This 768-nucleotide ribosomal RNA is filed under the name uncultured bacterium. RNAcentral's name for it is "bacterial SSU rRNA". It matches the Rfam family "Bacterial small subunit ribosomal RNA", at positions 94 to 823 of the family's 1533-position model. The record is from RNAcentral.